GAUCACCUGGGAUGUGCGAAGUUCUUACCAAUUUUGAACCUACAUUAGACUAAAGGGAUUCCAAUAUUUUUAAGCGGAUGUCAUGCCUCCUUUUAAGCGUGGAAGGCAGAAGUUUAAGUGAGGUUGCCCACCUAGCAUUGCUAGGCGUCAAUAAGUAAGAGACGGCAUCUUGGGGUCACA
This 180-nucleotide non-coding RNA is filed under the name Clostridium sp. Its description in RNAcentral is "6S RNA". It matches the Rfam family "6S / SsrS RNA". From Rfam's summary of the family: E. coli 6S RNA was the first non coding RNA to be sequenced, but its function was unknown until recently. Lineage: Bacteria; Bacillati; Bacillota; Clostridia; Eubacteriales; Clostridiaceae. RNAcentral also lists the same sequence under 2 other names. The record is from RNAcentral.